UUUUAAAGAAACUAGAGUCCUAAUUUCACUAAGGUUCUAAACUUUUCUUCUCUCACCUCACAACUCAAAACUGAUGAAAUAAAUCCUCAUUCUCUACUCAUCGAUCUCACGUUCUCUCUCCUCGCAAAACUUCAGCAACAAUGGUAGAUCUUCAUUCAUCAUUCUUCAUCUCUCUUCCUCUCUCCUCCUCAUAAUUUAGUUUUCUCUAAUUUGACUCUAAUAUUAGAGUAGUUCGUGAAUAGCUACAUUGAAUCGCAAUCUCUAUUGAUCCAACCACUGCUUCCUCUCCCUCCUCCGCCCCACCGCCAGUACCUUCCGCCACCUAUCACCGCCUAUUAGUUGCUUACACGAUCAAUUUCACCGCUUACAUUAACGUGGGUAAGUUUUUUUGCUUUGGGUUUUAAAAAUUAGGGUUUUGGGAUGAGUUCUUAUGUUAGGUUUUCAAAUUAUCACAGAUUGGUUGUUAUUAAUUGCUUGUUGAGUAGGGAUUUAUUGAAUGUUGUUAAUUUCUUUGAUUGUUUCGAUUUUCUUUAAGCAGUGAAGUUAUGUUAUUGAGUUGCACACUAAGUGCUUGAUAAAAUGCCAAAAUGAAUAAUUUUUGAUAUUUUUGGGUAUCCUUUGGUCCUUACUCUCUGCCUUCCCCCUAAUACCUCUUGUCUCUCACUGUACAUAUCUUUCCCAUGGAUGAAAAUUAGGGUUUGUUUGAGUUUUCAACUCUAUGGUUCUGAAUUAAGAAAGAUAAGAGGAAAUGGUUUGCAGCACAUAAACGAGUUGCCUAAUUUCUUAACAUGCUACAAGGUUUCAGGAAAUACAAACGCUUAGGGUUGAAGUGAUUGUCAGAAGGAAGGUGUUUGCUUCAGAAUUGUUGAAUUUGCAUAAAGUCGGUACACACCAUGUAUGGAAAACUCGGGUGAUCAUGAUGAAUCUCUGUCUACAGCUCCUGGGUGCUCGUGCCCGUGUUGGUCUUACUGUAUAUUAGUCGUGACAGGUGUUGAUCACUACCAGGAUACCAAGGGAAAAUGUGCUCCUUUCUACCAUCAAAGUAUGAGAAGGUGUUCGAACCCGCGUUGGUCACUGUGAGUAGUCGUGAGUUCUGAGUCCUUCUGUGAUACCGAAGGACAAGAUGCUAGUAUUAACAACGUUUAAAGACACAUGCUUGUGCCUGCAUUGUGAAUAGUUGUUAUUGUCAAUUUGUUUAAUAUUGUCACAAUUAUGUAUACUUUUGACCCUUAUUUUAUUUUGUUUUUUUUAAAUGUUUGGAGAUAAUUGAUGUAAAGUGUAAUAUUUAUUUUAGUAAUUGUAAGAACUAUUUUGGAAUUACCAAAUUGGUAAAAUGCUGAUUUUUAGGCCGA
Spinacia oleracea (spinach) is the source of this 1352-nucleotide long non-coding RNA. RefSeq lists it as uncharacterized. The transcript has 2 exons. The record is from RefSeq and is a predicted model, not a curated record. Lineage: Eukaryota; Viridiplantae; Streptophyta; Magnoliopsida; Caryophyllales; Amaranthaceae.